AGGCAGCAGUGAGGAAUAUUGGUCAAUGGGCGGAAGCCUGAACCAGCCAAGUCGCGUGAGGGAAGACGGCCCUACGGGUUGUAAACCUCUUUUGCCGGGGAGCAAUGCCCAGCUCGCGAGCUGGGAAGGAGAGUACCCGGAGAAAAGCAUCGGCUAACUCCGUGCC
This 166-nucleotide ribosomal RNA is filed under the name uncultured bacterium. Its description in RNAcentral is "partial 16S ribosomal RNA". It matches the Rfam family "Bacterial small subunit ribosomal RNA", at positions 346 to 509 of the family's 1533-position model. The record is from RNAcentral.